RNAcentral lists this ribosomal RNA (112 nucleotides) under uncultured eukaryote. Its description in RNAcentral is "partial small subunit ribosomal RNA". It matches the Rfam family "Eukaryotic small subunit ribosomal RNA", at positions 1676 to 1785 of the family's 1831-position model. The record is from RNAcentral.
UCGCUACUACCGAUUGAAUGGCUUAGUGAGCUUCAGGGAUUGGUGAUUCUGGUCGGGUUUCCUUCCAUUUUCACCGAGAACUGAAUCAAACUUGAUCAUUUAGAGGAAGUAA